GAUGAACGCUGGCGGCAGGCCUAACACAUGCAAGUCGAGCGGAUGAAUGGGAGCUUGCUCCCUGACAUUAGCGGCGGACGGGUGAGUAACACGUGGGCAACCUGCCCUGCAGAUGGGGAUAACUCCGGGAAACCGGGGCUAAUACCGAAUAAUCAGUUUGUCCGCAUGGACAAACUCUGAAAGACGGUUUCGGCUGUCACUGCAGGAUGGGCCCGCGGCGCAUUAGCUAGUUGGUGGGGUAAUGGCCUACCAAGGCGACGAUGCGUAGCCGACCUGAGAGGGUGAUCGGCCACACUGGGACUGAGACACGGCCCAGACUCCUACGGGAGCAG
RNAcentral lists this ribosomal RNA (332 nucleotides) under uncultured Bacillota bacterium. Its description in RNAcentral is "bacterial SSU rRNA". It matches the Rfam family "Bacterial small subunit ribosomal RNA", at positions 28 to 351 of the family's 1533-position model. The record is from RNAcentral. Lineage: Bacteria; Bacillati; Bacillota.